This 251-nucleotide ribosomal RNA is filed under the name uncultured bacterium. Its description in RNAcentral is "partial 16S ribosomal RNA". It matches the Rfam family "Bacterial small subunit ribosomal RNA", at positions 1243 to 1500 of the family's 1533-position model. The record is from RNAcentral.
CGGGAAGGCCAUAUGGCGACAUAGAGCGGAACCCGAAAACCUAGUCUCAGUUCGGAUUGGAGUCUGCAACCCGACUCCAUGAAGCUGGAUUCGCUAGUAAUCGCGCAUCAGCCACGGCGCGGUGAAUACGUUCCCGGGCCUUGUACACACCGCCCGUCAAGCCAUGGAAGCCGGGAGUGCCUGAAGUGCGUGAGCGCAAGCAGCGCCCUAAGGUAAAACCGGUGACUGGGGCUAAGUCGUAACAAGGUAUC